This 429-nucleotide ribosomal RNA is filed under the name uncultured bacterium. RNAcentral's name for it is "bacterial SSU rRNA". It matches the Rfam family "Bacterial small subunit ribosomal RNA", at positions 28 to 443 of the family's 1533-position model. The record is from RNAcentral.
AGCGAACGCUGGCGGCGUACUUAACACAUGCAAGUCGAACGGGGAUCGUCGGUGUAGCAAUACAUCGGCGGUUCUAGUGGCGCACGGGUGAGUAACACGUGGGUAACCUGCCCUUGAGUUCGGGAUACCCUUUCGAAAGGAAGGCUAAUACCGGAUACGUUCCUCGGAUUGCGAAAUCUGGGGAGGAAAGGUGGCGCAAGCUGCCGCUCUUGGAGGGGCUCGCGGCCUAUCAGCUAGUUGGNGAGGUAACGGCUCACCAAGGCUAUGACGGGUAGCUGGUCUGAGAGGACGACCAGCCACACGGGAACUGAGACACGGUCCCGACUCCUACGGGAGGCAGCAGUGGGGAAUUUUCCGCAAUGGGCGAAAGCCUGACGGAGUGACGCCGCGUGGGGACGAAGGCCUCGGUUGUAACCCUACGUCAGAGGG